This is a long non-coding RNA of Mustela erminea (ermine), 537 nucleotides long. RefSeq lists it as uncharacterized. Lineage: Eukaryota; Metazoa; Chordata; Mammalia; Carnivora; Mustelidae. The transcript is spliced from 3 exons. The record is from RefSeq and is a predicted model, not a curated record.
CGGCUCUUCGGUUCGCGCAGCGCUGACCAUUCGGACCUUUGGGGCAGAACGCAAGACAGUCAACUCGCUGCUCCUCGGACCUGACUGCGUUCUGAGGUCAAGAAAGGAAAACAGGAAACAUUGGAAAAAUAAACGGAGUCUUUCCUGUGAAGGCCAGGAUGGAGUAAUAAGGACUAAAUAUGUACUCUCACCUGGAAAAAACAAAAACUGGGAAAACGUACAUAAAAAAAUAAAAACAUCUUUUAAGACACUGGAUGUUGGACUACGUAAGACAGUCAUCUCCGAGAGGUGGGAAACAAACAAGAUGAGACCUAGCAACUGCCCCAGCUUACUGCCUUAAAAAAAUUUCCAGGACAUAAUGCAGGGAGGGAGAGAUGUUGAUAAUGGUCAUGCUUUUGUGGGGGUACACAUCGGAGAAAAUGUAUCAAACUGUACGUUUUAUUGCAGUUUACUGUGUGUCGGUUUUUGUUUUGUUUUUUAAGAUUUUAUUUAUUUGAGAAAGAGAGAGAACACAGGGAUGGGCAGAAGAAGAGGGAG